GGUGCUGGGCAUGGGGGGAAACGGAAAGCCUCCCCGGAAGCUGAUGCAGGCAGGCUUGCAGCGAAGUGCAGCCUUGCAGGAAGCCAGAGGAGGAGCACGGAGUGUGGCACAGCACCCAAGAGAGGGAGAGGUGCUGAGCCGAAUGGCAAAAUCUUGGUGAAAGCUCCUCUCCAGGCUGGAGGGCUUCCUGGAACAGCAGCUCCCAGCACGGGGGGAAGAGCUUCCCCUGCAGUUGACAGCCGCCCCUUCCCCAAGACCGUGGCCGCAAGAAAGCGCAAGGGAGUGGAAGAGGAGGAGCAAAAAGCAGAGC
Meleagris gallopavo (turkey) is the source of this 310-nucleotide non-coding RNA. The record is from RefSeq and is a predicted model, not a curated record. NCBI's taxonomy places the organism in Eukaryota, Metazoa, Chordata, Aves, Galliformes, Phasianidae.